Molecule: ribosomal RNA, 444 nt
Filed under: Triticum aestivum (bread wheat)
Lineage: Eukaryota; Viridiplantae; Streptophyta; Magnoliopsida; Poales; Poaceae
Description: partial small subunit ribosomal RNA
Source: RNAcentral
AUGAAGGAUUGUAUCAGAGCAAUUGAUGGGAUGCAUGUUCCGAUUAGCAUAUCUCCGAGACUACAAGACCCAUAUCGCAAUAGAAAAGGAGCAUUAUUACAAAAUGUCAUGGUGGCAUGUAAUUUUGAUAAUCAAUUCAUCCAUGUCAGUGCGGCCUGGGAAGGAUAUGCAAAUACACCUAAUUUUGUUGCACCUUACCGAAAUGUCAGGUACCAUUUGAACGAGCAAGCUAAAUGCAACCAAAGGCCACAAAAUGCUAAAGAGCUAUUCAAUAUCAGGCAUGCACAACUACGUAAUCACAUCGAGCGCAUCAUUGGUGUUGUGAAGAAGCGUUUCCCAGUACUGAAGUCUGCUUCACAUUACCCAAUUGAAUCUCAACCUGAUAUUGUCAUAGCAUGUUGUGCACUACAUAACUUUAUUCGCAAUCACGAGGGGGGAGAAUAA